RNAcentral lists this ribosomal RNA (506 nucleotides) under uncultured bacterium. RNAcentral describes it as "bacterial SSU rRNA". It matches the Rfam family "Bacterial small subunit ribosomal RNA", at positions 40 to 507 of the family's 1533-position model. The record is from RNAcentral.
CGGCGUGCCUAAUACAUGCAAGUCGAACGCACUCUCGUUUAGAUUGAAGGAGCUUGCUCUGAUUGAUAACAUUUGAGUGAGUGGCGGACGGGUGAGUAACACGUGGGUAACCUGCCCUAAAGUGGGGGAUAACAUUUGGAAACAGAUGCUAAUACCGCAUAAAACCUAACACCGCAUGGUGUAGGGUUGAAAGAUGGUUUCGGCUAUCACUUUAGGAUGGACCCGCGGUGCAUUAGUUAGUUGGUGAGGUAAAGGCUCACCAAGACCGUGAUGCAUAGCCGACCUGAGAGGGUAAUCGGCCACACUGGGACUGAGACACGGCCCAGACUCCUACGGGAGGCAGCAGUAGGGAAUCUUCCACAAUGGACGAAAGUCUGAUGGAGCAACGCCGCGUGAGUGAAGAAGGUUUUCGGAUCGUAAAACUCUGUUGUUGGAGAAGAAUGUAUCUGAUAGUAACUGAUCAGGUAGUGACGGUAUCCAACCAGAAAGCCACGGCUAACUACGUG